This 520-nucleotide ribosomal RNA is filed under the name uncultured Glomus. RNAcentral's name for it is "SSU rRNA". It matches the Rfam family "Eukaryotic small subunit ribosomal RNA", at positions 569 to 1092 of the family's 1831-position model. Lineage: Eukaryota; Fungi; Glomeromycota; Glomeromycetes; Glomerales; Glomeraceae. The record is from RNAcentral.
AGCAGCCGCGGUAAUUCCAGCUCCAAUAGGGUAUAUUAAAGUCGUUGCAGUUAAAAAGCUCGUAGUUGAAUUUCGGGAUUAGUACGCUGGUCGUGCCUUCGGUAUGUACUGGUGUUACUGGUUCCUACCUUCUGACGAACUGUCAUGUCAUUAAUUUGGUGUGGCGGGAAAUCAGGACUGUUACUUUGAAAAAAUUAGAGUGUUUAAAGCAGGCUCGCGCUUGAAUACAUUAGCAUGGAAUAAUGAAAUAGGACGUUCGAUCCUAUUUUGUUGGUUUCUAGGAUUGACGUAAUGAUUAAUAGGGAUAGUUGGGGGCAUUAGUAUUCAAUUGUCAGAGGUGAAAUUCUUGGAUUUAUUGAAGACUAACUACUGCGAAAGCAUUUGCCAAGGAUGUUUUCAUUAAUCAAGAACGAAAGUUAGGGGAUCGAAGACGAUCAGAUACCGUCGUAGUCUUAACCAUAAACCAUGCCGACUAGGGAUCGGAUGAUGUUAUUUUUAAUGACUCAUUCGGCGCCUUACG